Molecule: long non-coding RNA, 2783 nt
Organism: Bombus pyrosoma
Lineage: Eukaryota; Metazoa; Arthropoda; Insecta; Hymenoptera; Apidae
Exons: 3
Source: RefSeq, a predicted model, not a curated record
CAAUUGUAAUAAGGAAUUAAUAAAAUAAUAAUUAAAUUAUACACUAUAACGAUAUUCUAAUAACGAGAUGCAAGGACAACGAACGCGAAGGGUAUACGUAUCCAAAUUUGAUUCAGCAUUUUCUGCCAGAACUACUGAGAACUUCAUGUGAAAUGAAGAAAGGUAAAAAGCUGAAGAAGAAGGCAGCGCGUUCUGGUAGACGGACAAAAACAAAUAGUCGGAUAAAAGCGUUACAAAGAAGGAGAAAGAAAUGUGAAGAGGGCGUGACGAGAAGGGGUGGAACACGUUGGCCCCAUCUGAAUCAUCACUGCACGCGAAUGGCUUCAUUCAUACGCAAAUUUAAAGUACGUUCACGUGAGGCGGUAUUACGAUCUAUACCCUUCGUUAGAUCGAUCAUUCUUUACAACCGACGACUCCUUCUCCCGUUCGAGUCUACUUCUGUCGACAGUGAUAUGACUAACAUAAAAGUUAGAAAGUAAGAAAUUGGAAGAGUAGGAAAACAAGGAAAUACGAAACUUGGAAACUCGAAAAGUUAACGUAAAACUAGAAACCCAAGGAAGUUAAUAUAGUGCGAGAGACCUAGGAAGCUAGGAAAAUUAAUAUAAACUGAGGAACUAGAAACCCCGAGGAAACUACCUCAAACAUUUCUUUUUCCAAACUACCACUAUAAUUCGUUCUAAAAAAUAUAUGCGGCAUGAGGUGUGGUGGAAAAUCAUGUUCGACCAGGUAUGCGAUCGAAAUGAUGGACGACAGCGGCGCGGCUUGUUUAAUGGCACCUACGAAAAGGAAAGUGCUCACCCACGCAUCCUAUCUGACGGACAUUACGACGGCAGGUUACAAGUAUCGGUAUCGUGUUUCUUGCUAAUUAAACGUGAACGCGAACGGAUGUAAAACAUAAAACGUGGCAGAUAAGACCACAUAAUCUUUCGAAAUCGUGGUUUCAAACGGUACAAAGCUAGUACAUCUAUUCUAUUCGACUGUUGAAUUUUUUAUAGAUAUCAUUGAUGUCACCUCUUUCUUGUUACAGAAAGCAUCCUGAGUGCGAGAUUAUUAAUUGCUACAGAGGAUGGUAAACGGAAGUUAAAUUUUCAUUGAAGGAAUCGAAAAAUUGAAGAAUCAGGUGAGUCAAAAAAAAAAAUUGGAAAACAUAUUACGAAGAUAUUAUAAACAAAAUUAAUUUGGAAUUUAAAAAACAAGGUAAAUGAUAAAUUUCAUGAAAAAUUCAGAAAUUAGGAAAUUAAGAAAUUAAAAAAAUUAAUUAGAUAUUUAAAAGAAUAAUUCCUAUCCUAUUUUAUCACAAUUAUUUGACCCAGUCUCAAGCUUAAUCAAAACUUUAAUUUUCUCGCAGAACAAACGUGUUAAUGACUACUAUCCACAAUGGGCUCUCAGCUCAGCAAUGCAAUUUAAUCGCCGACAUUUUCAUCGAUGAUAGCCAUCAAUCGUAAUUAACUUUGUAACUCUCUAUCUCCCUAACGCAUUAUCGAAAGAAUCGAUUGUGUUUUUAGCAGCUAUGUUCUGUAUGAAAUAAUUUGUAAUUAGUCACACUGACAAGUCAUGACGGUGACUAAUCGAAACCUCCUCUUUUCAUCUGUGGUUUUUUGAUGCUGCUUCAGGAGUAUAUCAGUGUUGCCCUUAAAGGCUGCAGUUCUAUUUGCUCGGCAACUUACGACGAACAGUUACCAGAGGAGCAUAAUAUGUACCAGAUGUUUACCGUUUGGCUUAGCUACUGUGCAAAUACCAAGCUCCUUCAUCCAACUUCCAGAUAACAUAUCGCUUGCUUAUCCAAAGAAAUUUGUACCAUUAGCUAUCUUCUGAGAGAAACUAGAAUUUUCAAAGAAAUAUAUACAAUUAAAAUGAAGUAGGUAAUAGAUCAAAGAUUUUGUGAUUUUCAUUAAUUUUCUAAGAAGUGCAGGUUCAUUUGGAAAGAUAUUAUUUUGGAAAUCUUAAGGUUGUUUUCCCAUAAAAGAUCAACCUCCAUUAAUUGGAAUACGAAUAUGAUUAUCUUCAUAAGAUUCUUGUCCCUGAAGGGAUGAAAUUGCGAGAAGGUAAAUGGAGAAACAGAUACCAGGCGAAUCGUCAAUGCCAAUACGCGGACGGAUUCGAGGAAUGUGAAGGGAAAUCAAUAUAGCUCAAACUUCUCUGACUCAGUGACACAGAAUAUCAGUUCUAUCGGUUUACGUGGAAAAUGGCUAACGAGCGCAAGCUAGUGUAAGGAAAUAAAAUAAAAUAUGAAAAUUUAUACUAAAAUAUCAUUCGAUCUAUAGAAUCUAUAUUUUUAGAGUUCGUUCCUUAUAACAAUCAAUCUCUCAGAUUACACUAAAAGAAAGCUUCAAGUUUCAGCAAGAAUAUUUAAGCUCCAUGCAAGUGCAUUACCAAAUUCACAAGUUCCAAUGUUCUAAUUUUAAAAUACAUUGUAUGUAUUGUAUUAAAUGUUAUAUAUAAUUUGUAUCAUAUAGGGUUGAGUUUCAAAGUUCUUCAUCGAUGAAGAAAGCUGUAGUUUAUCUAAAAGAAAAGGAUGAGAGAUGCAGGGUUGCAUGUACCAAUUGCAACUUUUAAAAGUUCUUCGAGAAGGAUGAUCUUCGAAUUCGCACAAUCGCGCGCGAUGAAUUCAGCUCGCACAUUAAGCGUAUAACUGGGAGUCGUCGGUAAUAACGUGGUGGGUGGAUAUGAGGCUAACGUUCCAACUAUGUACGGCGCUGUGUGUCUUGCAAGUGCACUCUAAACAGAUGGUUCUCAACCUGUAUCUUUGUGGAAUGCGUCAAUUCCAUACUAAUUACGGUCAA